GGUAUGGGAGUGGGAUUGGUAGACACGCUAGCUUGAGGGGCUAGUGCCGGUUACGGUGUGAAGGUUCAAGUCCUUUCCACAGCA
RNAcentral lists this transfer RNA (84 nucleotides) under subsurface metagenome. RNAcentral's name for it is "tRNA-Leu". It matches the Rfam family "tRNA". Rfam says of the family: Transfer RNA (tRNA) molecules are approximately 80 nucleotides in length. Their secondary structure includes four short double-helical elements and three loops (D, anti-codon, and T loops). The record is from RNAcentral.